UUGGGAUGUAGUUCAGUGGUAGAGCAUGUGCUUAGAAUGCAUGAGGCCCUGGGUUUGAUCCUCAGCACCAAA
This 72-nucleotide transfer RNA is filed under the name Marmota monax (woodchuck). RNAcentral describes it as "tRNA.Ser". It matches the Rfam family "tRNA". From Rfam's summary of the family: Transfer RNA (tRNA) molecules are approximately 80 nucleotides in length. The record is from RNAcentral. Lineage: Eukaryota; Metazoa; Chordata; Mammalia; Rodentia; Sciuridae.